RNAcentral lists this long non-coding RNA (844 nucleotides) under Daphnia pulicaria. RNAcentral describes it as "uncharacterized LOC124336555, transcript variant X2". Lineage: Eukaryota; Metazoa; Arthropoda; Branchiopoda; Diplostraca; Daphniidae. The record is from RNAcentral.
GGUGACAUUAAGCUUUAUGGGGACAAAAAUGCUAUCUUGAGUAAAAGCUACCGUUGGCCCAAUGCACAAAUUCCUUAUCAAAUCUCAGCGGAGUACACAAGCGAUCAGCGUACAAUAAUCGCCUUCGCUAUGAGCGCCUACCACAACAAUAUGUGCAUCCGUUUCGUCCCUCGAACCUGUGAAAAGAAUUACAUUAGGAUCUAAAAAACUGGAAACGGUUAUUGGAGUUACGUUGGCAUGCUAGGGAUUUCAGAACAACAAGUAAGUCUCGAUGAUCAAUGUCUCACCACUUCUAGGCCAGGAGUAGCCAUGCACGAACUAAUGCACACCGCUGAUUCUACCACGAACACACGCGUCCACAUCGUGACACCUACGUGAGGAUCAACUUUACCAACAUUCAGCCACAAUACGCCAACAACUUCGAAAAAAAUUUUGCUUCACAGGUGACUACUCUUGGACUUGCUUACGACUAUGGCUCUGUGAUGCAUUAUCCUUAAUAUGUCUUUGCUAUUAACACAACUUAUCCGACCAUCACUCCACUUAUUGGAAAGCCAGCAUUGGGACAACGAACAGGAUUCAGUUUGCUGGACCUCCAAAAAUUGAAAGCACUGUAUUGCUCCGCAUCGAAAUAAAUACUUGUGACGGGCGCACGAGAAUAAUUUGCAUCGAUCUGUUUCGCAUACGAAUAUCGUAGCUCCCUCCUUUGCAGUUUGAAUGGUGAUUUGGUGGCCAAUUUCGUCCACAGCUGAAAAAACAGCCUUUAAAAGCACAACUUGAUACGAGUCCUUUAUUUGUUGUUCUGGUGAUUGAUUGUCUCACAUACAGUUUCAAUAAAGUUUGUUCA